RNAcentral lists this ribosomal RNA (287 nucleotides) under uncultured bacterium. Its description in RNAcentral is "partial 16S ribosomal RNA". It matches the Rfam family "Bacterial small subunit ribosomal RNA", at positions 773 to 1060 of the family's 1533-position model. The record is from RNAcentral.
GUGGAUUAGAUACCCUGGUAGUCCACGCCGUAAACGAUGAAUGCUAGCCGUUGGGCAGCUUGCUGUUCAGUGGCGCAGCUAACGCAUUAAGCAUUCCGCCUGGGGAGUACGGCCGUAAGGUUGAAACUCAAAGGAAUUGACGGGGGCCCGCACAAGCGGUGGAGCAUGUGGUUUAAUUCGACGCAACGCGCAGAACCUUACCAGGGUUUGACAUCCUGCGACCGCCCUCUAAUAGGGGUUUUCCCGCAAGGGACGCAGAGACAGGUGCUGCAUGGUCGUCGACAACU